RNAcentral lists this ribosomal RNA (301 nucleotides) under uncultured bacterium. RNAcentral's name for it is "partial 16S ribosomal RNA". It matches the Rfam family "Bacterial small subunit ribosomal RNA", at positions 509 to 807 of the family's 1533-position model. The record is from RNAcentral.
CAGUAGCCGCGGUAAUACGGAGGGAGCUAGCGUUGUUCGGAAUUACUGGGCGUAAAGCGCACGUAGGCGGUUAUUCAAGUCAGAGGUGAAAGCCCGGGGCUCAACCCCGGAACUGCCUUUGAAACUAGAUGACUGGAAUCUUGGAGAGGUCAGUGGAAUUCCGAGUGUAGAGGUGAAAUUCGUAGAUAUUCGGAAGAACACCAGUGGCGAAGGCGACUGACUGGACAAGUAUUGACGCUGAGGUGCGAAAGCGUGGGGAGCAAACAGGAUUAGAUACCCCAGUAGUCCCUGUCUCUUAUAC